Long non-coding RNA from Argiope bruennichi, 787 nucleotides. RefSeq lists it as uncharacterized. Lineage: Eukaryota; Metazoa; Arthropoda; Arachnida; Araneae; Araneidae. The transcript is spliced from 3 exons. The record is from RefSeq and is a predicted model, not a curated record.
GCACAACCACGCAAGAUCCUGGGCAUUUCCAGUUUAUCCGGCAGCCGGGAGACUUCAGAGGAAUCUUAUUCGAAUAUUAAUUCGCAACAAACAAUUAUUAUGUUUCCUUUGCUGAAAGAGAAGGAAAAUUUGUACAGUAAUUUGAUGAAAUUUUUAUCCAUUUAUAUUCAUUUGCAUGUGAAAAUGAAAUUAACCCUUCACUUCUUUGACUCAUCUUCUGAAAAAAGAUUUAUCGAACAUACAUGCACUAAUCCUCGGAGGAGUGAAUCCUCAGAACUGCUCCCGCUUCUUUGUUGUGCCAACGAGAUGACAACGCACGUUUCGGGCCUCUAUCCCUGCCGGUGAGUGCUCCAGAGAGAAGUUGGUCCAUUCAAACUGAGCCAUAUCCUCCAUUGCUUUCGUGGCCUCCAAAUUGUUCAUUUUCUCAUCUUUCCUAGAAAAUUCCCUCAAUGGGAAUCAUGUUUCACAUUGAAGUUAGAAUAUAUUUCUUUUAACCAGAUAUUGUAGUUCAAGACUUUCCCCUUUCUGUAGAUAAAUCUAUCACAUCGGUAUAAUAUAUUCUCUGCGAAAAUUCAACUCCUCAAGGACUGAACCAAUAAUUUUCGGAUUGAAUGACUGAAGCAUUCACACGAAAAAAGCAGAGAUUCUGUUUAUAUAGUUUUUUAAAUUUAUAUCCUCAGUAGAUUUCAAAUGUAUACUAAAAUUCCCAAAUACCUUUUCGAUUCAAGUUUAUUUGAAAAAUAUGAUGAUAUGAAAUUGUGCAUAAUAAAAAGUUAUUUAAAUUGUA